Octodon degus (degu) is the source of this 595-nucleotide RNA transcript. It is a transcript of the gene named nucleolar protein of 40 kDa pseudogene, with no coding region annotated. The record is from RefSeq and is a predicted model, not a curated record. Lineage: Eukaryota; Metazoa; Chordata; Mammalia; Rodentia; Octodontidae. The transcript has a single exon.
CGCUGACUGGGUUUGGCGUUUCGGGCAAUGCAGGGGCUCGGAGACUCAGAGCUGACGCCGAGACACCUGAACUAGCUCUAGCAGAAGAGAAAUGGAGGAGCCAUAGAACAUAAGGAUGAAUUCAGGAAAGCCUGAGACCAUGGAAAACUUGCCUGAUCUCUACACUAUUUUCCAGGGAGAGGUUGCUAUGGUGACAGACUAUGGAGCCUUUAUCAAAAUCCCAGGCUGUCGAAAGCAAGGUCUGGUCCAUCGAACUCACAUGUCAUCCUGUCGGGUGGAUAAGCCCUCUGAGAUAGUAGAUAUCGGAGACAAAGUGUGGGUGAAACUUAUUGGCCGAGAGAUGAAAAAUGAUAGAAUAAAAGUAUCCCUCUCCAUGAAAGUUGUCAACCAAGGGACUGGGAAAGACCUCAAUCCCAACAACAUAAUUAUUGAGCAAGAAGAAAGGAGGAGGCGGUCCUUCCAGGAUUACACUGGGCAGAAGAUCACCCUUGAGGCUGUCCUUAACACUACCUGCAAGAAGUGUGGCUGUAAAGGCCACUUUGCAAAGGAUUGUUUCAUGCAGCCAGGUGGGACCAAAUAUUCUCUGAUACCCGAU